Molecule: long non-coding RNA, 642 nt
Filed under: Medicago truncatula (barrel medic)
Lineage: Eukaryota; Viridiplantae; Streptophyta; Magnoliopsida; Fabales; Fabaceae
Description: long non-coding RNA (MTRU_LNC006193)
Source: RNAcentral
AACUUUCUGAUUGUUGUUCACUCUAGAGCAUUGACAUCAACAACUCCUCAUGUUGUCCAUGAACUCUUCUUCUAUCAACUCCCAAAAAAGAUUAUUAAGAUCUUCUGAACUAUUUGGAUCCAUUUGAGUGAAAGAAGAUUGAGAGAAGAGUUAUAGAAGAUUAUAUGGUGGAGUUUGUCGGUGGUGACAAAAAUUGAGAAUUUUGAGAAAUAGGGUGUUGGUGAUUUUGCAUAAAAUGCAAUAAAGGUUAUUGGUAAUUAAACUGAUUAGGAUCCAUUUGACAUAAACAAAAAUAAAUUUGAAGUGAAGAGAUAAAUAAUUGAAUAAAAUGUAUUAUCAAAUGAAGACCAAAGAAAUGAAGUUGUGAAGUUAAAACUAUAAGAGAAUAAUUGUGGGUAAAAAUAAGAGCAAAUAGAUGAAAUAUUGAAAUUGUGAUGAAAAAAUUGAAUGUAAUUUUUCUAAAUGAACACAAUUUAUAGUUACAGGAAUUUCAAACUAACAAAAAAAAAAAGAACAUGUAAAAAUCAAUGAUGCAUUGAUGUCUGUCAUUUAUUCAAAACGGUAACAAUAUUUAUUAUUGUUUAUUCAAAGUAACCGUUGCUUUCUGAAACAACGGUGAUGCCAGCCUGUCGGACUCCAAGG